Molecule: unclassified non-coding RNA, 385 nt
Filed under: uncultured Phycisphaeraceae bacterium
Lineage: Bacteria; Pseudomonadati; Planctomycetota; Phycisphaerae; Phycisphaerales; Phycisphaeraceae
Description: contains 16S-23S intergenic spacer region
Source: RNAcentral
UCCGGCUUGACGCCGGCAGUCUCGUUAGAGUCCUCAGCAUUACCUGGUAGCAACUAACGAUAGGGGUUUCGCUCGUUAAGGGACUUAACCCGACACUUCACAGCACGAGCUGACGACAGCCAUGCAGCACCUGUGAUCGUUCCACGGAAACCGCGUCACCCGGCUUUCACCGAGCUAAUCCGACCAUGUCAAGCCCAGGAUAAGGUUCUUCGCGUUGCUUCGAAUUAAGCCACAUGCUCCACCGCUUGUGUGAGCCCCCGUCAAUUCCUUUGAGUUUUAGCCUUGCGACCGUACUCCCCAGGCGGUGCACUUAACACUUUUGCUUCGACCGUGAUGGCGUCAAAACCUCCACAAUCUAGUGCACAUCGUUUAGGGCGUGGACUAC